GGAUGUGAGGAUGAUCUGACUGAGACAGCUGUUAUCCCAUUGCUCCCCAGGGUUGAUUCGGCUGAUCUGGCUGGCCAGUCAGGCGUCCCCUUUCUCCCUCACCAUUCCAUGCUCAUCCUUCUUGAAGAGGACUACCUUCCCCCAAUAAAGGAGACCAGUCUUUGGUCAAGGGUAUCCGAGUAGCUGCGGCUCUCUUGCUAGAACCCCCAAACAAGCUCUGAAGGUCCAGUUUUUAUUUCUAAUUCUUCAUUUCAGUUUUGCGGCAAAGAGAAAACCUCAUUAAACACUCAAUAAACUGCAGGGUUUUUGUCCUAAGUU
Molecule: small nuclear RNA, 318 nt
Filed under: Cricetulus griseus (Chinese hamster)
Lineage: Eukaryota; Metazoa; Chordata; Mammalia; Rodentia; Cricetidae
Description: 7SK RNA
Rfam family: 7SK RNA
About the family: 7SK was discovered as an abundant small nuclear RNA in the mid-70s but a possible function has only recently been suggested. Two independent studies have found that 7SK RNA binds the CDK9/cyclin T complex (known as elongation factor P-TEFb).
Source: Rfam by way of RNAcentral